UGAGAAGAGAGAGCCGCUAAAGGGCAGAGCAAAGACUCCAGUAACACUCAAGCAAAGGAGGAUUGAGCACAAUCAGGUGGAACCCUCACAGCAUUUUCGUGUAGAUGGUGCAGUAAUUUCAGAGAGUACUCCCAUAGCUGAGACUAUAAAGGCUUCCAGCAACGACUCCUUAGUGGCCAAUAGGUUGACUGGAAAUUUCAAGCAUGCAUCUUCUAUUCUGCCAAUCACUGAAUUCUCAGACAUAACCAGAAGAACACCAAAGAAACCAUUG
RNAcentral lists this long non-coding RNA (271 nucleotides) under Rattus norvegicus (Norway rat). RNAcentral's name for it is "long non-coding RNA NONRATT026672". Lineage: Eukaryota; Metazoa; Chordata; Mammalia; Rodentia; Muridae. The record is from RNAcentral.